Molecule: ribosomal RNA, 253 nt
Filed under: uncultured bacterium
Lineage: Bacteria
Description: partial 16S ribosomal RNA
Rfam family: Bacterial small subunit ribosomal RNA
Source: RNAcentral
UACGAAGGGGGCUAGCGUUGCUCGGAAUCACUGGGCGUAAAGCGCACGUAGGCGGACUCUUAAGUCAGAGGUGAAAUCCUGGAGCUCAACUCCAGAACUGCCUUUGAUACUGGCAAUCUUGAGUCCGGAAGAGGUGAGUGGAACUCCUAGUGUAGAGGUGGAAUUCGUAGAUAUUAGGAAGAACACCAGUGGCGAAGGCGGCUCACUGGUCCGGUACUGACGCUGAGGUGCGAAAGCGUGGGGAGCAAACAGG